CGCCUUGCCAGCCCGCUCAGAAACUUAAAGGAAGUUGACGGGGCCCGCACAAGCGGAGGAGCAUGUGGUUUAAUUCGAUGAUACGCGAGGAACCUUACCUGGGCUCGAACGUAAGAUGACUGUAGGUGAAAGCUUACAUCUCUUCGGAGCAUUUUACGAGGUGCUGCAUGGUUGUCGUCAGCUCGUGCCGUGAGGUGUCGGGUUAAGUCCCAUAACGAGCGCAACCCCUACCUUUAGUUGCCAUCAGGUUAAGCUGGGGACUCUAAAGGAACUGCCUACGCAAGUAGUGAGGAAGCGGGGAUGACGUCAAAUCAGCACGGCCCUUACGUCCAGGGCUACACACGUGCUACAAUGGCCGAUACAGAGGGCAGCUACCUGGUGACAGGAUGCAAAUCUCCAAAGUCGGUCUCAGUUCGGAUCGGAGUCUGCAACCCGACUCCGUGAAGUUGGAUUCGCUAGUAAUCGCGCAUCAGCCAUGGCGCGGUGAAUACGUUCCCGGGCCUU
Molecule: ribosomal RNA, 504 nt
Filed under: uncultured Sphingobacteriales bacterium
Lineage: Bacteria; Pseudomonadati; Bacteroidota; Sphingobacteriia; Sphingobacteriales
Description: bacterial SSU rRNA
Rfam family: Bacterial small subunit ribosomal RNA
Source: RNAcentral